UACGUAGGGGGCAAGCGUUGUCCGGAUUUAUUGGGCGUAAAGCGCGUGUAGGCGGCCAGGUAGGUCCGUUGUGAAAACUCGAGGCUCAACCUCGAGACGCCGAUGGAAACCAUCUGGCUAGAGUCCGGAAGAGGAGAGUGGAAUUCCUGGUGUAGCGGUGAAAUGCGCAGAUAUCAGGAAGAACACCCGUGGCUAAGGCGGCUCUCUAGUACGGUACUGACGCUGAGACGCGAAAGCGUGGGGAGCGAACAGG
This 253-nucleotide ribosomal RNA is filed under the name uncultured bacterium. RNAcentral describes it as "partial 16S ribosomal RNA". It matches the Rfam family "Bacterial small subunit ribosomal RNA", at positions 524 to 776 of the family's 1533-position model. The record is from RNAcentral.